GAUGAACGCUGGCGGCGUGCCUAAUACAUGCAAGUCGAGCGAACAGACGAGGAGCUUGCUCCCCUGACGUUGGCGGGGGACGGGUGAUUAACACGGGGUUAACCUACCUAUAAGACUGGGAUAACUUCGGGAAACCGGAGCUAAUACCGGAUAAUAUAUUGAACCGGAUGGUUCAAUAGUUAAAGACGGUUUUGCUUUCACUAAUAGAUUGCUCCGCGCCGCAUUAGUUAGUUGGUAAGGUAACGGCUUACCAAGGCAACGAUGCGUACCCGACCUGAGAGGGUGAUCGGCCACACUGGAACUGAGACACGGUCCAGACUCCUACGGGAGGCAGCAGUAGGGAAUCUUCCGCAAAGGGCGAAAGCCUGACGGAGCAACGCCGCGUGAGUGAUGAAGGUCUUCGGAUCGUAAAACUCUGUUAUUAGGGAAGAACAAAUGUGUAAGUAACUAUGCACGUCUUGACGGUACCUAAUCAGAAAGCCACGGCUAACUACGUG
RNAcentral lists this ribosomal RNA (497 nucleotides) under uncultured bacterium. RNAcentral describes it as "partial 16S ribosomal RNA". It matches the Rfam family "Bacterial small subunit ribosomal RNA", at positions 28 to 507 of the family's 1533-position model. The record is from RNAcentral.